UACGUAGGGGGCAAGCGUUGUCCGGAAUCAUUGGGCGUAAAGCGCACGUAGGCGGCUUUGUAAGUUAGAGGUGAAAGCCCAGGGCUUGACCCUGGAAUUGCCUUUAAGACUGCAUCGCUAGAAUUGUGGAGAGGUAAGUGGAAUUCCGAGUGUAGAGGUGAAAUUCGUAGAUAUUCGGAAGAACACCAGUGGCGAAGGCGACUCACUGGACGACUGUUGACGCUGAGGUGCGAAAGCGUGGGGAGCAAACAGG
This 253-nucleotide ribosomal RNA is filed under the name uncultured bacterium. Its description in RNAcentral is "partial 16S ribosomal RNA". It matches the Rfam family "Bacterial small subunit ribosomal RNA", at positions 524 to 776 of the family's 1533-position model. The record is from RNAcentral.